GAGCCCGGGCACAAAGAGCCCUCUGCACUCGCGCCGCAGAACGGCGGACCCGAGUGACAGCUGGACGCAUCUCCCUGCUCACCCAUGGGGUUCCAGACAUGUUGACAUGACCACCACGACCCUAGGGCAUCAAAGGACCAACCAAGGUUUGCCUUUUCUGGACAUUUCACGUACAUGGAGUCAGACAGCAUGUGGUCUCUUGUACAUGGC
Callorhinus ursinus (northern fur seal) is the source of this 210-nucleotide non-coding RNA. Lineage: Eukaryota; Metazoa; Chordata; Mammalia; Carnivora; Otariidae. The record is from RefSeq and is a predicted model, not a curated record.